CAAAGCUCCAUUAGGGGUUUUGAGUGGUUAACUGGAGAUGAGUUUUCACAGGAACUUUUCUGCCCAGGCUGGCUUUGAACCACAAUCCUCAGAACUUAGCUUCCCAAGUAGCUAGGUUUACAACAAAGCCUAAUUUAUAAUCAAGUAUUGUAUAUCUCAUGUAAUAUACUGAAUACCAUACUGAAAGCAAAAAAUCAGAAAGGUUGUAUGGAUAUUCAUCAUUAAUAUAUGGUUAAUGUAUGUUAAAGCUUCUACUGAAUACUUAGCACUUUCACACUCCUGUAAAGCUGUGAAAUCCUAAGUAGAGCCAUCUUUAUGCUCUGUCUGCACUUUAGUUUUCUGAAUGGAUCGCACAUUUGCCUCUGUCUUUGAAUACUAGGUCCCCAUGGGGAGUGCCCUUUCCCAUUAGUUAAGUAUUCAUCCUUUUAAGACCCAGGCCCCUGGGGCUGGGAAUAUGGCCUAGUGGCAAGAGCGCUUGCCU
Perognathus longimembris pacificus (Pacific pocket mouse) is the source of this 481-nucleotide long non-coding RNA. RefSeq lists it as uncharacterized. The transcript is spliced from 3 exons. The record is from RefSeq and is a predicted model, not a curated record. NCBI's taxonomy places the organism in Eukaryota, Metazoa, Chordata, Mammalia, Rodentia, Heteromyidae.